GGAUAGUUGGCAGAGUCUGGCUUAUUGCAUCGGUCUUGAAAACCGAAGAGCGGAAACGCUCCGUGGGUUCAAAUCCUACACUAUCCUCCA
Molecule: transfer RNA, 90 nt
Filed under: Caudoviricetes sp.
Lineage: Duplodnaviria; Heunggongvirae; Uroviricota; Caudoviricetes
Description: tRNA-Ser
Rfam family: tRNA
About the family: Transfer RNA (tRNA) molecules are approximately 80 nucleotides in length. Their secondary structure includes four short double-helical elements and three loops (D, anti-codon, and T loops). Further hydrogen bonds mediate the characteristic L-shaped molecular structure. tRNAs have two regions of fundamental functional importance: the anti-codon, which is responsible for specific mRNA codon recognition, and the 3' end, to which the tRNAs corresponding amino acid is attached (by aminoacyl-tRNA synthetases). tRNAs cope with the degeneracy of the genetic code in two manners: having more than one tRNA (with a specific anti-codon) for a particular amino acid; and 'wobble' base-pairing, i.e. permitting non-standard base-pairing at the 3rd anti-codon position.
Source: RNAcentral